RNAcentral lists this ribosomal RNA (253 nucleotides) under uncultured bacterium. RNAcentral's name for it is "partial 16S ribosomal RNA". It matches the Rfam family "Bacterial small subunit ribosomal RNA", at positions 524 to 776 of the family's 1533-position model. The record is from RNAcentral.
UACGUAGGGUGCAAGCGUUAAUCGGAAUUACUGGGCGUAAAGCGUGCGCAGGCGGUUUUGUAAGUCUGUCGUGAAAUCCCCGGGCUCAACCUGGGAAUUGCGAUGGAGACUGCAAGGCUAGAAUCUGGCAGAGGGGGGUAGAAUUCCACGUGUAGCAGUGAAAUGCGUAGAUAUCAGGAAGAACACCGAUGGCGAAGGCAGGUCUCUGGGCUGACACUGACGCUCAUGCACGAAAGCGUGGGGAGCAAACAGG